This 321-nucleotide long non-coding RNA is filed under the name Populus trichocarpa (black cottonwood). RNAcentral describes it as "long non-coding RNA (PTRI_LNC002768)". The record is from RNAcentral. Lineage: Eukaryota; Viridiplantae; Streptophyta; Magnoliopsida; Malpighiales; Salicaceae.
CCGCCAUUCCCAUCAACUCCAUCAGACCAAAAUUGGCCACAUACGGCUUACCUUGCAUGUAUCUCUCUCUCUCUCUACCGCCACAUAAGACAAAUGAAUCGUACGGCUUUCUUUAUCAAGCCCUCCCAACUUUAAAUCUUUCCACAUUUUCUUUGAUGACCUUUUCGAGUACCUCCUUAUUUCUUUUUUAUUUGGUUUUUUGCGCAGAAAAUGGUGGAGAUCCUGAUUUUGCCUUGAGAAUGUGAAAGAAACAUGGACAAACACGCAUUUUAUUUGUUUUCUUUUCCUUGUCGGCACAGUGGCAGGUCGAGUGAAUAGUGG